CUACGGGAGGCUGCAGUGGGGAAUAUUGGACAAUGGGCGAAAGCCUGAUCCAGCCAUGCCGCGUGUGUGAAGAAGGCCUUCGGGUUGUAAAGCACUUUCAGUGGGGAAGAAAGCCUUGGGGCUAAUACCCUCGAGGAAGGACAUCACCCACAGAAGAAGCACCGGCUAACUCCGUGCCAGCAGCCGCGGUAAUACGGAGGGUGCGAGCGUUAAUCGGAAUUACUGGGCGUAAAGCGCGCGUAGGCGGUCUGAUAAGCCGGUUGUGAAAGCCCCGGGCUCAACCUGGGAACGGCAUCCGGAACUGUCAGGCUAGAGUGCAGGAGAGGAAGGUAGAAUUCCCGGUGUAGCGGUGAAAUGCGUAGAGAUCGGGAGGAAUACCAGUGGCGAAGGCGGCCUUCUGGACUGACACUGACGCUGAGGUGCGAAAGCGUGGGUAGCAAACAGGAUUAGAUACCCUGGUAGUC
This 464-nucleotide ribosomal RNA is filed under the name Vreelandella stevensii. RNAcentral describes it as "partial 16S ribosomal RNA". It matches the Rfam family "Bacterial small subunit ribosomal RNA", at positions 339 to 795 of the family's 1533-position model. The record is from RNAcentral. Lineage: Bacteria; Pseudomonadati; Pseudomonadota; Gammaproteobacteria; Oceanospirillales; Halomonadaceae.